RNAcentral lists this ribosomal RNA (253 nucleotides) under uncultured bacterium. RNAcentral describes it as "partial 16S ribosomal RNA". It matches the Rfam family "Bacterial small subunit ribosomal RNA", at positions 524 to 776 of the family's 1533-position model. The record is from RNAcentral.
UACGUAGGGGGCAAGCGUUGUCCGGAUUUAUUGGGCGUAAAGAGCGUGUAGGCGGCCAUACAGGUCAGCUGUGAAAACUCGAGGCUCAACCUCGAGACGUCGGUUGAAACCGUAUGGCUAGAGUCCGGAAGAGGAGAGUGGAGUUCCCGGUGUAGCGGUGAAAUGCGCAGAUAUCGGGAAGAACACCCGUGGCGAAGGCGGCUCUCUGGGACGGUACUGACGCUGAGACGCGAAAGCGUGGGGAGCAAACAGG